AGAGAUGAAGCCAACAUAGCUCUGUGUCUCACCCAAGGCCUGCUGUAACCACUCCCUGGACAGCAUUGAAUUCAGAGCCUCACAAUUGCUGUGUUCUACUUCGCCUAGCAACCAGAGAUGAUCCCUGCAACAUGCUGCUGUUGCUGGGAGUGGGAAAGAGGUGGCAUCGGCGGUUCAAGACUGAGUUUUCUAUCUCUUCAGUGCCUCUUUCAACAAUGAAGAUCAAACCAGGUUUUGUGCAAAUAUCUGCUGAGUGAACUACUUAUUUGAAAAUACAUCAUUGGUUAAUAUUCCCUUUUGCUCAUUGAAAUCUCAAAGACUACAGACCCCGCACAAGACAUUCUGACAUUCCCGUCUUUGAAAUGAAUGACAGCAAUGAUAAAUAUGGCUCACCUCCAGAGAUACAGAUCUCACAACUUCAUAUUUUUAAUAUAAAUUAUUAAUCUGAGGUGUGGUGCAAUUCCAUUAGAUGAAAGAGAUCUACACAUUCAGAAGCACAUGAUUCUUCCCCCUUCCAUGAUUCCAGUGGCCAAUAGACAAACUACAAUAAAGCCAUGCCCUGACUGGAUGUGCCUAACAUUUGUCUGGUGCUUAAAGGAGUUGGCUGCAUGCGUGGAAAUGUUGGAAAGUCACCAAAAAUAGUUCUCCAAGUCAGAAGCGGUGCAAAAGCUGCCUCAGCUCUUGGUGGAUUUUCAAUUUCUCCCAGCCAUCUCUGUUUCGCUAAAGGUUUCUGAAGACAGUGGGGGAAGCUUUUUUCUCCUCCCCAUCCUGAUCACUAGUAUGAGAAGGGGUGCUAAUGGACCAGCCUUGGCCUUGCAGAUGAAGAUGAUGAAGGAAGAAGAUGUAUAAAGAACCUCUGAAAGAGUCCCAGUUUUACAUUUCAAAGUCUUUUUCCUUCUGUUGUUUAUUGUGUUGGGUUGGAGUGGAGGAUAUUUGAUGGAGAAUUGAUUCUGAAACUUGCCAAAAUAUGGAUAAUACUUUGCUCCUUUUCCAUUGUGGGUUAUCACAAAGAAGAGUUUCACUUUUAGUCAUCUAUUUACAGGGACAUGGAUGAAGCUGCAAGCCAUCAUUCUCAGCAAACUAACACAAGAACAAAAAACCAAACACCAUAUGUUCUCACUCAUAAGUGGGAGUUGAACAUUGAGAACACACGGACACAGAGAGGGGAGCAACACACACCAGGGCCUGUUGGGGGCAAGAUAAUGAAGAUAUUAUACCAUUAUAUGCUCUUGAAUCUGUCUCAUUGUGACUUGGCGAAGAGGCAGUGAAUCUGCCAAAAAGAAGUAGAGCAGCUGUGAAGAUGCCAACACAAUUGAGUACUCUUUCUCUACAUAUUUCUAAAUAUGGCAAUUUAUUGGACACUUAUGAGCAUGGAAUGACAAUGGGGUCAAUUUAACCAUACGGCAAUGCUGAGACACCUUCAUUAUGACCUUUCCCUGGUAUAAGUUAUGUGAUAAUGAAUGCAUGUUUAGUCACACACUGUAGGUACAGAUGGGAAAAAAGAAAGCAUAAAAUAUAAAACAUGAUGUCCAGGUUUCAAAUAAGAA
Long non-coding RNA from Homo sapiens (human), 1547 nucleotides. Ensembl annotates it as long intergenic non-protein coding RNA 1192. The record is from Ensembl. Lineage: Eukaryota; Metazoa; Chordata; Mammalia; Primates; Hominidae.